CAAGUCGAACGAACCUUCGGGUUAGUGGCGGACGGGUGAGUAACGCGUGCCAUUCUGCCCUCAGGAGGGGGAUAACGGUUGGAAACGACCGCUAAUACCCCAUAUGCCUACUGGUGAAAUGAAUUUCGCCUGAGGAUGAGCUCGCGUCUGAUUAGCUAGUUGGUGAGGUAAUGGCUCACCAAGGCUUCGAUCAGUAGCUGGUCUGAGAGGAUGAUCAGCCACACUGGGACUGAGACACGGCCCAGACUCCUACGGGAGGCAGCAGUGGGGAAUUUUCCGCAAUGGGCGAAAGCCUGACGGGGCAACGCCGCGUGAGGGACGAAGGCCUCUGGGCUGUAAACCUCUUUUCUCAAGGAAGAAGAUAUGACGGUACUUGAGGAAUAAGCCACGGCUAAUUCCGUGCCAGCAGCCGCGGUAAUACGGGAGUGGCAAGCGUUAUCCGGAAUUAUCGGGCGUAAAGCGUCCGCAGGCGGCUUUUCAAGUCUGCUGUUAAAGCGUGGAGCUUAACUCCACCAUGGCAGUGGAAACUGAAAGGCUUGAGUAUGGUAGGGGCAGAGGGAAUUCCCGGUGUAGCGGUGAAAUGCGUAGAUAUCGGGAAGAACACCAGUGGCGAAGGCGCUCUGCUGGGCCAUUACUGACGCUCAUGGACGAAAGCCAGGGGAGCGAAAGGGAUUAGAUACCCCUGUAGUCCUGGCCGUAAACGAUGAACACCAGGUGUCGGGGGAAUCGA
RNAcentral lists this ribosomal RNA (730 nucleotides) under uncultured Prochlorococcus sp. RNAcentral's name for it is "bacterial SSU rRNA". It matches the Rfam family "Bacterial small subunit ribosomal RNA", at positions 58 to 835 of the family's 1533-position model. The record is from RNAcentral. Lineage: Bacteria; Bacillati; Cyanobacteriota; Cyanophyceae; Synechococcales; Prochlorococcaceae.